This 334-nucleotide ribosomal RNA is filed under the name uncultured prokaryote. Its description in RNAcentral is "bacterial SSU rRNA". It matches the Rfam family "Bacterial small subunit ribosomal RNA", at positions 26 to 352 of the family's 1533-position model. The record is from RNAcentral.
AGGAUGAACGCUAGCGGUGUGCCUAGAGCAUGCAAGUCGAACGAAGUCUACUCUAUAGCAAUAUAGAAUAGACUUAGUGGCGAACGGGUGAGUAAUGUAUAGAUAACUUACCUUUAACAUGAGGAUAGCUUAUUGAAAAGUAGGGUAAUACUCAAUAUGGUUUGAAACUGAAAUGUUUUAAAUUAAAGCUCAAAAGGCGGUUAGAGAAAGGUCUAUAUUCUAUCAGCUUGUUGGUAAGGUAAUUGCUUACCAAGGCUAUGACGGAUAGCUGGUCUGAGAGGAUGGUCAGCCACAUUGGGACUGCGACACGGCCCAAACUCCUACGGGCGGCAGC